This 497-nucleotide ribosomal RNA is filed under the name uncultured bacterium. RNAcentral describes it as "partial 16S ribosomal RNA". The stretch from base 20 to 341 matches the Rfam family "Bacterial small subunit ribosomal RNA", at positions 47 to 358 of the family's 1533-position model. The record is from RNAcentral.
GAUGAACGCUGGCGGCGUGCCUAAUACAUGCAAGUCGAGCGAACAGACGAGGAGCUUGCUCCUUUGACGUUAGCGGCGGACGGGUGAGUAACACGUGGAUAACCUACCUAUAAGACUGGGAUAACUUCGGGAAACCGGAGCUAAUACCGGAUAACAUGUUGAACCGCAUGGUUCAACAGUGAAAGACGGUCUUGCUGUCACUUAUAGAUGGAUCCGCGCCGCAUUAGCUAGUUGGUAAGGUAACGGCUUACCAAGGCAACGAUGCGUAGCCGACCUGAGAGGAAGGGCGGCCACCCGGAAAGGGAGACCGGCCCCAGAUGCCUGGGGGGGCGGCAAGGAGGAAUUCGGCAGGAAGGGGGGGAGACUAGAGGGAAAAGGGCGGAGUGCGGAAGAAGGGUCGCCGGAUGGGAAAACUUGGUUAUUGGGGAGAAAAAAGUUUUAAAGUAAGAAGACGCGUCUGGGAGGGAAAUAAGAAAAGAACCAGGGCAAAACUAGGG